RNAcentral lists this ribosomal RNA (897 nucleotides) under uncultured fungus. Its description in RNAcentral is "eukaryotic LSU rRNA". The stretch from base 325 to 897 matches the Rfam family "Eukaryotic large subunit ribosomal RNA", at positions 1 to 585 of the family's 3401-position model. The record is from RNAcentral. Lineage: Eukaryota; Fungi.
GAUCAUUAAGAAUUGGAGGCGACUCCCUUUCUAUCGUGCUUACUUAACUGUAUGUCUACUCCAUUUUAUGUUGUCUGAACUACCAAACAAAACAAAAACUUUCAACAACGGAUCUCUUGGUUCUGGCAUCGAUGAAGAACGCAGCGAAGUGCGAUAAGUCUUGUGAAUUGCAGAAUUAGUGAAUCAUCGAAUCUUUGAACGCAUAUUGCACCUCUUUGAGGUAUACUUGGAUGACGUGUUGACUUGAUCGAGCAAUCGACGUUGAGGGAAGGCAUCGCCCCCCUUGAAAUUCAUGACCGUGCUGGGCACAAAACACAUCAAUUUACACGUCAUCUCAAGUAAGAAGACCCCCUGAACUUAAGCAUAUCAAUAAGGGGAGGAAAAGAAACCAACGGGGAUUACCUCAGUAACGGCGAGUGAAGCGGUAAAAGCUCAAAUUUGAAAUCUAGGCCUAGCCUCGAGUUGUAAUUUGCAGAGGAUCUUUUGGGUUCCCCCGGGGAGUAAGUCUCUUGGAAAAGAGCGCAAGACAGGGUGAGAGCCCCGUUCGACUCCUCCGGCAGACCUGGGUAAAAGUCCUUCGACGAGUAGAGUUGUUUGGUAAUGCAGCUCAAAGCGGGAGGUAUGUUCCUUCUAAAGCUAAAUAUUGGCCAGAGACCGAUAGCGAACAAGUAGAGUGAUCGAAAGAUGAAAAGAACUUUGAAAAGAGAGUUAAACAGUACGUGAAAUUGUUGAAAGGGAAGCAUAUGCUAUCAGACUUGUGGUUGUUCUUCACGGAGGGUUUUCCCUCCGGCACUGGACACUCCCAGGCCAGCAUCAGUUGUGGGGGCGGGUUAAAGGGCCGCGGAAUGUAUCUUCCUCGGAAGACUUAUAGCCGCAGCUGACAUGCCGCCCCGGCGA